AGGUAUAGAGCUCAGUAGUAGAGUGUGUGCUUAGCACUCACAAGGUUCUGGGUUCAAUUCCCAGUACCUCCA
This 72-nucleotide transfer RNA is filed under the name Camelus ferus (Wild Bactrian camel). It matches the Rfam family "tRNA". Rfam says of the family: Transfer RNA (tRNA) molecules are approximately 80 nucleotides in length. Their secondary structure includes four short double-helical elements and three loops (D, anti-codon, and T loops). Lineage: Eukaryota; Metazoa; Chordata; Mammalia; Artiodactyla; Camelidae. The record is from Rfam by way of RNAcentral.